AAAAAAAAAAAAAAAAAAAAUGUAGGCAAGAAGAUGGAACUUUGAAGGCAAGACAAAGGUCUUAUUGGUACAUUUAUGCACUUGCACAUGGAAUGGUCACAAGUACAUUCAAGAUCCAAUUAUUGUCCUUUGCUCAAUUGCUAGUGAAGUUGUUCUCUUAAAAAAGAUUUCUCCAUUUUGUGAAUAAACUCUAAUAAAUUUUGAGUGCAGUAAUAAGGUCCCUAUCUUCUACAAUUAUCAAACAAAAUUUGUUGUUGUGUGAUGUAGACCACAUUAAUUGUGGCAAAGAAGCCAAGUCAUAGCUUCCUUCCCUUCAAAGUUGGUGAGCAAGAAAAGAAGAAAAUGCUAGUCUUUCGG
This 357-nucleotide unclassified non-coding RNA is filed under the name Hevea brasiliensis (rubber tree). Lineage: Eukaryota; Viridiplantae; Streptophyta; Magnoliopsida; Malpighiales; Euphorbiaceae. The record is from RNAcentral.